ACACUCCUACGUGAGGCAGCAGUGGGGAAUAUUGGACAAUGGGCGCAAGCCUGAUCCAGCCAUGCCGCGUGAGUGAUGAAGGCCCUAGGGUUGUAAAGCUCUUUCACCGGUGAAGAUAAUGACGGUAACCGGAGAAGAAGCCCCGGCUAACUUCGUGCCAGCAGCCGCGGUAAUACGAAGGGGGCUAGCGUUGUUCGGAUUUACUGGGCGUAAAGCGCACGUAGGCGGACUAUUAAGUCAGGGGUGAAAUCCCGGGGCUCAACCCCGGAACUGCCUUUGAUACUGGUAGUCUUGAGUUCGAGAGAGGUGAGUGGAAUUCCGAGUGUAGAGGUGAAAUUCGUAGAUAUUCGGAGGAACACCAGUGGCGAAGGCGGCUCACUGGCUCGAUACUGACGCUGAGGUGCGAAAGCGUGGGGAGCAAACAGGAUUAGAUACCCGAGUAGUCCC
RNAcentral lists this ribosomal RNA (447 nucleotides) under uncultured organism. RNAcentral's name for it is "partial 16S ribosomal RNA". It matches the Rfam family "Bacterial small subunit ribosomal RNA", at positions 333 to 797 of the family's 1533-position model. The record is from RNAcentral.